Molecule: ribosomal RNA, 386 nt
Filed under: uncultured bacterium
Lineage: Bacteria
Description: bacterial SSU rRNA
Rfam family: Bacterial small subunit ribosomal RNA
Source: RNAcentral
AUUGAACGCUGGCGGAAUGCUUUACACAUGCAAGUCGAACGGCAGCACGGACUUCGGGAUGCCGACGAGUGGCGAACGGGUGAGUAAUAUAUCGGAACGUGCCCAGUAGUGGGGGAUAACUGCUCGAAAGAGCAGCUAAUACCGCAUACGACCUGAGGGUGAAAGGGGGGGAUCGCAAGACCUCUCGCUAUUGGAGCGGCCGAUAUCAGAUUAGCUAGUUGGUGGGGUAAAGGCCUACCAAGGCAACGAUCUGUAGUUGGUCUGAGAGGACGACCAGCCACACUGGGACUGAGACACGGCCCAGACUCCUACGGGAGGCAGCAGUGGGGAAUUUUGGACAAUGGGCGCAAGCCUGAUCCAGCAAUGCCGCGUGCAGGAAGAAGGCC